ACGCACGCUGGCGGCGUGCUUAACACAUGCAAGUCGAACGGAAAGGCCCUGCUUGCAGGGUACUCGAGUGGCGAACGGGUGAGUAACACGUGGGUGAUCUGCCUUGCACUUCGGGAUAAGCUUGGGAAACUGGGUCUAAUACCGGAUAGGAACCAUCUUUAGUGUGGUGGUUGGAAAGUUUUUUCGGUGUAGGAUGAGCUCGCGGCCUAUCAGCUUGUUGGUGGGGUAAUGGCCUACCAAGGCGGCGACGGGUAGCCGGCCUGAGAGGGUGUACGGCCACAUUGGGACUGAGAUACGGCCCAGACUCCUACGGGAGGCAGCAGUGGGGAAUAUUGCACAAUGGGCGCAAGCCUGAUGCAGCGACGCCGCGUGGGGGAUGAAGGCCUUCGGGUUGUAAACUCCUUUCGCUAGGGACGAAGCUUUGUUGUGACGGUACCUAGAUAAGAAGCACCGGCUAACUACGUG
This 465-nucleotide ribosomal RNA is filed under the name uncultured bacterium. RNAcentral describes it as "partial 16S ribosomal RNA". It matches the Rfam family "Bacterial small subunit ribosomal RNA", at positions 29 to 507 of the family's 1533-position model. The record is from RNAcentral.